Aspergillus carbonarius ITEM 5010 is the source of this 112-nucleotide transfer RNA. It matches the Rfam family "tRNA". From Rfam's summary of the family: Transfer RNA (tRNA) molecules are approximately 80 nucleotides in length. Their secondary structure includes four short double-helical elements and three loops (D, anti-codon, and T loops). The record is from Rfam. NCBI's taxonomy places the organism in Eukaryota, Fungi, Ascomycota, Eurotiomycetes, Eurotiales, Aspergillaceae.
GGCAAGAUGGCCGAGUUGGUCCAAGGCGUCAGGUUAAGGUCAACCUUAAUAUUCAGCUUCAUAGCUUCCUGAUCAUCGUUUGAUGGCGUGGGUUCGAAUCCCACUCUUGUCA